This 730-nucleotide ribosomal RNA is filed under the name uncultured bacterium. RNAcentral's name for it is "bacterial SSU rRNA". It matches the Rfam family "Bacterial small subunit ribosomal RNA", at positions 771 to 1501 of the family's 1533-position model. The record is from RNAcentral.
AACAGGAUUAGAUACCCUGGUAGUCCACGCCGUAAACGAUGUCGACUUGGAGGUUGUUCCCUUGAGGAGUGGCUUCCGGAGCUAACGCGUUAAGUCGACCGCCUGGGGAGUACGGCCGCAAGGUUAAAACUCAAAUGAAUUGACGGGGGCCCGCACAAGCGGUGGAGCAUGUGGUUUAAUUCGAUGCAACGCGAAGAACCUUACCUACUCUUGACAUCCACGGAAUUCGGCAGAGAUGCCUUAGUGCCUUCGGGAACCGUGAGACAGGUGCUGCAUGGCUGUCGUCAGCUCGUGUUGUGAAAUGUUGGGUUAAGUCCCGCAACGAGCGCAACCCUUAUCCUUUGUUGCCAGCGAUUCGGUCGGGAACUCAAAGGAGACUGCCGGUGAUAAACCGGAGGAAGGUGGGGAUGACGUCAAGUCAUCAUGGCCCUUACGAGUAGGGCUACACACGUGCUACAAUGGCGCAUACAAAGAGAAGCGACCUCGCGAGAGCAAGCGGACCUCAUAAAGUGCGUCGUAGUCCGGAUCGGAGUCUGCAACUCGACUCCGUGAAGUCGGAAUCGCUAGUAAUCGUGGAUCAGAAUGCCACGGUGAAUACGUUCCCGGGCCUUGUACACACCGCCCGUCACACCAUGGGAGUGGGUUGCAAAAGAAGUAGGUAGCUUAACCUUCGGGAGGGCGUUUACCACUUUGUGAUUCAUGACUGGGGUGAAGUCGUAACAAGGUAACC